UUUUGGAUAGCUUAAAGCAUAAAAUUUUUACUUUUACUAUACAUUUUUAAUGUUUCAAAAA
Molecule: transfer RNA, 61 nt
Filed under: Echiniscus testudo
Lineage: Eukaryota; Metazoa; Tardigrada; Heterotardigrada; Echiniscoidea; Echiniscidae
Description: tRNA-Lys
Source: RNAcentral